GACGAACGCUGGCGGCGUGCUUAACACAUGCAAGUCGAACGAAGAGCGAUGGAAGCUUGCCUCUAUCAAUCUUAGUGGCGAACGGGUGAGUAACGCGUAAUCAACCUGCCCUUCAGAGGGGGACAACAGUUGGAAACGACUGCUAAUACCGCAUACGAUCUAAUCUCGGCAUCGAGGAUAGAUGAAAGGUGGCCUCUACAUGUAAGCUAUCACUGAAGGAGGGGAUUGCGUCUGAUUAGCUAGUUGGAGGGGUAACGGCCCACCAAGGCGAUGAUCAGUAGCCGGUCUGAGAGGAUGAACGGCCACAUUGGGACUGAGACACGGCCCAGACUCCUACGGGAGGCAGCAGUGGGGAAUCUUCCGCAAUGGACGAAAGUCUGACGGAGCAACGCCGCGUGAGCGAUGACGGCCUUCGGGUUGUAAAGCUCUGUUAAUCGGGACGAAAGGCCUUCUUGCGAAUAGUGAGAAGGAUUGACGGUACCGGAAUAGAAAGCCACGGCUAACUACGUG
RNAcentral lists this ribosomal RNA (510 nucleotides) under uncultured bacterium. Its description in RNAcentral is "partial 16S ribosomal RNA". It matches the Rfam family "Bacterial small subunit ribosomal RNA", at positions 28 to 507 of the family's 1533-position model. The record is from RNAcentral.